Molecule: non-coding RNA, 617 nt
Organism: Jatropha curcas
Lineage: Eukaryota; Viridiplantae; Streptophyta; Magnoliopsida; Malpighiales; Euphorbiaceae
Source: RefSeq, a predicted model, not a curated record
UCUUCUUCUUUCUUGCUGUGACUGGACUGCGCCUGCGUCGACCUUAGCCAGCAACAGCAGAGGCGCGAUCCACAGCCAGUCGCACCGUCUCCAUCGCGCGCAGCACCGCCUCACCGCUCCUCUGCGCGCCACAGCCAGCAGUUCCGCCUGCAGCAGCGCUUCAUCCUCGGCCAGAUCGCGCCGUCUCAGGUGGUCUAGCUACUCCAGCACGACUCCAGCCACCUGCUUGCAGUCCCAGUGCGCGCAGUUUAGAUCCAGCACGCGUGCAAGUCCGAUCUACAAUUUGCGACAGAAAUUAAUAAAUUUGGGGUACUAGGAAGCAGCGGAUUCAACUGAAGCUCUGUAAUCUUCUCCGCAGAGUUAUAAAUGUAAACUUAAUAUUUCUGUUAUUUAAUUUUGGAUGUAUACAUUAUUCUAUUAUCAGAAUGUUAUUGAACUCCGCAGUUAUAGGGUUGUGUAUUUCCAAUUGGGCCUUGCCGUAUGCGUUGUUUUAUAAACGGUUGAUUGUAUUAUUAGACACAGGAAAAUCAGUAUGCCCAUAUUAUGAACGUGAUUGAUAAUGACUAGGCCCAAACUAAAUUUUAUUGGAGAUAAUUAAAAUUGGGCCGGAUUGUAUA